GCAGGGUUUUCAGCUUUGUAGAGAGGAACUUGAUGGCUCGCUCUCUCACAAUAUCCUCUCCCUGAAGAAUUUGACUGAAUAAGCCACCCAAAGUCCCUGAAUGGAGAAUAAAUAAGAAACAUCUUCAUCCUCACAGAGGUCCAACUGAGCAUUGAUAGCCGAGUCAGCUAGCUCAGGAAAAUGCUUGAAGAACUUAGGAAUAAACUGGGCUGCGAGUCUCUUCUCCUUGGCACCUCCCUUCACGCCAUCCAAGAUCACCUGGUACGCAUCCUUAUGCUGGAAGGGGAGAAACAGAACACAAUUAGAGAAAUCUUGGCUUAUUCUCAAGACAAGGAUUUUUUUUCUCUCCCAUUCACUAUUCAGCUAUGUAAGUCAGCUAUAUUACACAAGCUUCAUACAAAGAAAUACAUUUAUCUCUUAGACCACUAUAACUGUGCCAUUUACUAAAAUUUACCUCUGUUGUCUGGUUUUCACUGUUA
Pezoporus flaviventris is the source of this 479-nucleotide long non-coding RNA. RefSeq lists it as uncharacterized. NCBI's taxonomy places the organism in Eukaryota, Metazoa, Chordata, Aves, Psittaciformes, Psittacidae. The record is from RefSeq and is a predicted model, not a curated record. The transcript is spliced from 2 exons.